UGCCAGCCGCCGCGGUAAUACGGAGGGUGCAAGCAUUAAUCGGAUUUACUGGGCGUAAAGGGUGCGUAGGCGGACAGGCAAGUCAGGUGUGAAAUUCCGGUACUCAAUAUCGGAGCUGCACUUGAAACUACCUGUCUAGAGGAUAGGCGGAGAGAACGGAAUUCCGUAUGUAGCGGUGGAAUGCGUAGAUAUACGGAAGAACACCUGUGGCGAAAGCGGUUCUCUAGUUUAUUCCUGACGCUGAGGCGCGAAGGCGUGGGUAGCGAACGGGAUUAGAUA
RNAcentral lists this ribosomal RNA (279 nucleotides) under uncultured bacterium. RNAcentral's name for it is "partial 16S ribosomal RNA". It matches the Rfam family "Bacterial small subunit ribosomal RNA", at positions 506 to 784 of the family's 1533-position model. The record is from RNAcentral.